RNAcentral lists this ribosomal RNA (467 nucleotides) under uncultured bacterium. Its description in RNAcentral is "partial 16S ribosomal RNA". It matches the Rfam family "Bacterial small subunit ribosomal RNA", at positions 29 to 507 of the family's 1533-position model. The record is from RNAcentral.
ACGAACGCUGGCGGCGUGCUUAACACCUGCAAGUCGAACGGAAAGGCCCUGCUUUUGUGGGGUGCUCGAGUGGCGAACGGGUGAGUAACACGUGAGUAACCUGCCCUUGACUUUGGGAUAACUUCAGGAAACUGGGGCUAAUACCGGAUAGGAGCUCCUGCUGCAUGGUGGGGGUUGGAAAGUUUCGGCGGUUGGGGAUGGACUCGCGGCUUAUCAGCUUGUUGGUGGGGUAGUGGCUUACCAAGGCUUUGACGGGUAGCCGGCCUGAGAGGGUGACCGGCCACAUUGGGAUUGAGAUACGGCCCAGACUCCUACGGGAGGCAGCAGUGGGGAAUAUUGCACAAUGGGCGGAAGCCUGAUGCAGCAACGCCGCGUGCGGGAUGACGGCCUUCGGGUUGUAAACCGCUUUCGCCUGUGACGAAGCGUGAGUGACGGUAAUGGGUAAAGAAGCACCGGCUAACUACGUG